RNAcentral lists this transfer RNA (62 nucleotides) under Sida crystallina. Its description in RNAcentral is "tRNA-Ala". It matches the Rfam family "tRNA". From Rfam's summary of the family: Transfer RNA (tRNA) molecules are approximately 80 nucleotides in length. Their secondary structure includes four short double-helical elements and three loops (D, anti-codon, and T loops). Lineage: Eukaryota; Metazoa; Arthropoda; Branchiopoda; Diplostraca; Sididae. The record is from RNAcentral.
GGAAUUAUAGUUAAUUAUAACAUUUGAUUUGCAUUCAAAAAGUACCUUUUAGGUUAGUUUCA